Molecule: long non-coding RNA, 347 nt
Organism: Gasterosteus aculeatus aculeatus (three-spined stickleback)
Lineage: Eukaryota; Metazoa; Chordata; Actinopteri; Perciformes; Gasterosteidae
Source: Ensembl
UGCCCGAUUUUAUUUAUUUUCCAAUUGGUUCUCUUUCUAAUGAUAGAAGAGAUUUGUUAACUUGAAGAGUGUCCUGGUCCACCUCACUGACCUGCCCGGCAUAAAAUGAUGUGGAGGUGCACCCUGCAUUUACAUUUCUGCACAAGAUCAAGAGAACAAGCCCCAUUUAGAUAUCAAGAGAAGAGGAAAUCCCUGAAGUCAAGUGCAUUUCUAUCAGUGUUCGUCACACAGAAAGGUAAGCGAAAUAUCUGCAUACUCAUCUUAUGCCAAUCAAAUAUUCAAUACUAUGAUCAGAUGUUAGUCCGUUCAUUGUUUUAACACCUGUGGUUUUCAUUGUAAUUUUUGGG